This is a long non-coding RNA of Sapajus apella (tufted capuchin), 240 nucleotides long. RefSeq lists it as uncharacterized. The record is from RefSeq and is a predicted model, not a curated record. The transcript has 3 exons. Lineage: Eukaryota; Metazoa; Chordata; Mammalia; Primates; Cebidae.
GUGGAGCCGUGGGCUGGAGUGGUGGUGGAGCCGGAGGCUGGCCCGGUGUCCGUGGCCGAGGUGCCAUGGUGGGCUGGACUGGUGGUGGAGCCGUGGGCUGGAGUGGUGGUGGAGCCGGAGGCUGGCCCGGUGUCCGUGGCCGAGGUGCCAUGGUGGGCUGGACUGAUGGUGGAGCCGUGGGCUGGAGCGGUGGUGGAGCCAGAGGCUGGCCCGGUAUCCGUGGCUGAGGUGCCAUGGUGG